GGCGCAUAAUUUUUGCGCGUAUAAAAUUUUUUCCUUUGACCAUCAGUUCGCACAACACUGACAGUUCUUCCUAUAAGUAAUUUAAGUUCUGUCAAUAAAUACGACAGUUUUUGUUUAAAUCCUGGAAACAUCUGACUACUACUGAAGACAGUUUGAUGUAGGCUCUCGUCUUGUUUCUUCUUGCGAAUUUCCCACAAUCUGCAAACGUCAGAGUAAAUUAAUCAAUUUUUGUAACCUUUGGACUGACCAUUCGAACUUACCCGCGCUGUUCUUUUCCUCUGUAUUGCCUGAAUGGAUAAAAUAGGCAGGGCCAUUAAAAUCGUCGAGGCUAUUAUUGUCAAAAUGAAUAUUAUGAAACAAGCAAAACACGCCAUAAAAAAAGUAUAUUUAAAAAUUUGUUUAUAUGAAUUUUGUGUGUUGUGUAUGUUGAAUGAGUGUGAUGCAAUAAA
Molecule: long non-coding RNA, 449 nt
Organism: Cimex lectularius (bed bug)
Lineage: Eukaryota; Metazoa; Arthropoda; Insecta; Hemiptera; Cimicidae
Exons: 2
Source: RefSeq, a predicted model, not a curated record